RNAcentral lists this ribosomal RNA (315 nucleotides) under uncultured bacterium. Its description in RNAcentral is "bacterial SSU rRNA". It matches the Rfam family "Bacterial small subunit ribosomal RNA", at positions 28 to 334 of the family's 1533-position model. The record is from RNAcentral.
GACGAACGCUGGCGGCGUGCCUAAUACAUGCAAGUAGAACGCUGAAGGAGGAGCUUGCUUCCCUGGAUGAGUUGCGAACGGGUGAGUAACGCGUAGGUAACCUGCCUGGUAGCGGGGGAUAACUAUUGGAAACGAUAGCUAAUACCGCAUAACAGUAGAUGUUGCAUGACAUUUGCUUAAAAAGGUGCAAUUGCAUUACUACCAGAUGGACCUGCGUUGUAUUAGCUAGUUGGUGGGGUAACGGCUCACCAAGGCGACGAUACAUAGCCGACCCGAGAGGGUGAUCGGCCACACUGGGACUGAGACACGGCCCAG